RNAcentral lists this ribosomal RNA (45 nucleotides) under Caridina sp. FB-18. Its description in RNAcentral is "partial 12S ribosomal RNA". Lineage: Eukaryota; Metazoa; Arthropoda; Malacostraca; Decapoda; Atyidae. The record is from RNAcentral.
AGUCGUANCAAGGNAGGUGUGUCGGAAGGUGCACCUAGGAGUAUA